Molecule: ribosomal RNA, 468 nt
Filed under: uncultured bacterium
Lineage: Bacteria
Description: partial 16S ribosomal RNA
Rfam family: Bacterial small subunit ribosomal RNA
Source: RNAcentral
GACGAACGCUGGCGGCGUGCUUAACACAUGCAAGUCGAACGGAAAGGCCCUGCUUUUGUGGGGUGCUCGAGUGGCGAACGGGUGAGUAACACGUGAGUAUCCUGCCCUUGACUUUGUGAUAACUUCAGGAAACUGGGGCUAAUACCGGAUAGGAGCUCCUGCUGCAUGGUGGGGGUUGGAAAGUUUCGGCGGUUGGGGCUAGACUCGCGGCUUAUCAGCUUGUUGGUCGGAUAGUGGCUUACCAAGGCUUUGACGGGUAGCCGGCCUGAGAGGGUGACCGGACACGACAGGACUGAGAUAAGGCGCAGAAUGCUACGGGAGGCAGCAGGAGGGAAUAUGACACAAUGGGCGGGAGACAGAUGAGAAAACGCCGAGUGCGGAAUAACGGGCUUCGGGGUGUAAACCGCUUUCGCCUGAAACGAAGCGUGAGUGACGGUAAUGGGUAAAGAAGCACCGGCUAACUACGUG